AUAUAAAUGAUAUAAAUUUAACUAACAAUAACUUUAUUAUUCCCUUUAUCUAACGGAUCACUGUCUGUGGGACUAAAACCCAAAAAAUUCCUGAAGUUUGGAGCUUCUGCACUCCUACAGCUGCUGUUUACAGAAGAUCUAACAUAUCCACAGUGGAUCAUUUAGAGAUGAAGUUCUGCAGAUCUGCUAUCCAUGUUCUGCUUCUACUGAUCCUCACUAUUGAAUCAGAAUCAGCUGCUCCUGUAGUGGAGGUGGAGUAUGGAGGUACUGCUGUUCUGCCGUGUACUGAGAGAUGUUUUGGAGUGGUCAGAUGGACAGUGUUUCACAAGCGCUUUGAUAUUCUGGCUGAGUGUGAUUGGACUCCCUGCAGAUCAGUGAAGGAGGGAUAUCAGAUGAUCUAUAAUCAAUACCUGCAGAGAGAUUUCUCUCUGAUCAUCAGUAAAGCUGAUUUCAGUAAGAGAGGACUGUACACCUGUGAGUGUAAUGGUAGAGACAUCUGUGAUGUGGAGCUUCAGAUUGAGGCUCUGAGGACUUCAAAACAGAUGAAGUCUGGUGAAUCUCUGCUGCUGGAGUUGGAUGUAUCAGAUCCAGUGGGGGUGAUUUAUAGCAGUACAGGAGCAGGUGAUGGAUACAGUGUUCAGAUCUGUACAGUAGAUGGAGGAUCACUGCAGUGUAAAUCUGAAUAUAAACACAGAACAUCAUCUACUCUGGAGCUAAGAGAUAUGAAGGAGUCUGAUAGUGGAGUUUACAUUAUCCGAGACAACGAGAAUAAUGAUAAUCUCCACAUCUACACCGUCACUGUUACAGGUAUGAGUUUAGUGUUUAGUUUAUAGUAUAAACAGAGUUUAUUCUGGCAGAUUUAGUUAUAUACAUUUUUUUAUUAGUGUAUAUGGGGAUUGGGGGGGCAGUAUCAGUCUAGCGAACAACUGAAAUGGAAUGGAUGUCCAGUUUUUAGUAUUUGUAGAUAUUUUAUGAGGAUUCUCCAUCAGGUAGGGUGAAUUUAGGUUGAU
Molecule: long non-coding RNA, 1010 nt
Filed under: Astyanax mexicanus (Mexican tetra)
Lineage: Eukaryota; Metazoa; Chordata; Actinopteri; Characiformes; Acestrorhamphidae
Description: lncRNA (ENSAMXG00005003965.1)
Source: RNAcentral